UGUUGGAACUCAGGCCUAAACUUCUCUCACGCAAGCAACAACAGCAAGCUAAUUGAUUUCCGGCGAGACGCGCACGUACAAGCUAGCUAGCAAAAUCAAUCAAGCCAGCACUCACGCCAAACCACACACGAAGAUCAAUUGAUGGCCACAGGCACGUAUCGUGCCUGCUGUGUUUUUUCUUUAUUUUCUAUAUUCUGGGAUUAGGAUAACAAGGCACCGUAUGCCCGUACUUAUACAUGGCCAGAGGCCAGUCCGACUCAACAUCUAACAGCCUAACUGAAUACGACUAGGAGACCAACUCGUUGAUUCCCCUGUACAACUCCUAAACCGACUAGAACUAGGUAUGAACCAGAAAUAAACCUAUUCGAAUUUGACCUUAUGCUUACAUUCUCCCCCUAAGAUCAAAACG
This 409-nucleotide long non-coding RNA is filed under the name Brachypodium distachyon (stiff brome). RNAcentral's name for it is "long non-coding RNA (BDIS_LNC000463)". Lineage: Eukaryota; Viridiplantae; Streptophyta; Magnoliopsida; Poales; Poaceae. The record is from RNAcentral.